UCUGUGCUGCACGGUUUGCUAAGCAUGAGAUCACUUCCACCUUCAUCUCUGUGAACCUCCACGACGCAGGUAUCCAGGGUAGCAUUUGACGGCUUGCCCUCCGCUGGGGAGACCUGUAGUGUCUUACCCACACUGCGAAGAGGUGCCUAUAAAAUGCUCUCCACAGGUAAACUCAGAACAAUCCAGGCCAUUGAGGUCUUUGCUACAUAAAACUAUUUUAUGUAGCUCCGUGAAGGCUAUUUCUGGACAUUCAGGAAGACACAGAAGCUCGGUGCUUCUGAGUUGUAGGAGACAUGCGAAUCAUUCCCAACAUUGUCUCUUCGUUGAUACCAAGCUCAAGAAGAUGCCAGUGAGGGAAGGGCUAAAGGCGACAGCACGAACAGCAGCCAGCAGCGAGCCCGGAUGUGCUCCCCGAGGACAAGGAAGCCGUGAUUGUCUUGACAUCAGGUUUGGCUCUGAGCAAAAGCAGAAGCAGGCGCUCACGAGGAAGCGGAGGCUUUUUUCUACCUGAGUGGAGCAGCUGGUGAGGAAGUGACUCCAUUUCCUUCUCAUCGUUCGGCUGGGCAGGAUUUCCUCUGCAGCCGCGUGUGCUACAUGGGCCCUGAGGGUUCCCUCUGCAGACCAGGCUAGCUCUGCCAGAGGCUUGCUUGCAUCUGUGCCCUGCGACUCUGCUCCUUGAACCUUCUUUAUUCUCCCAAAACACUGAUUUCAGGUUUGAGAGAAAAGGAAAGGGGGAAAAAAAAACCAGCGGUGUGAACAUCAGGCCGAAGGCCGCACAGCUGCCUGGCCUUGGGUGGUAGAGGGACACGCACGUGAGAAGCGCCACUCUUCCUCCUCAGGGCCUCCAUGGCCUGGUCAAUGCAACUCAAUCUUGGAGAGGCUCUGGUCCCAGAAGGCAGGGCUCUUUGAAGGAUAGGCCAAAGACAUGCCUACAACAAAACCUAAUCUAAGCAUCAUUUGGUUGUAACUUGAAACCCGCUGGACCACUGACAAGAGAUGAGAAGCCCAUAUACAACAAUAGAUCUUGCCUGCCUGCAGUGGGUUGGGCCACAGAAGCCUGGGAUUUAUUUUGUUAUGAAAAUGUAUGUAGGACACAAAUGAGCUGGUGGGUCUCGGAGCCAAAGAGGGCGCAAGGUGGGAAUCGUGAAGACCGGCUCAUUUCUUGAGCAGAACAGUUUGACGGUAACAAAGGUAUCUGUGAGGGACUAGCAAUCACGCAGCCAGAAGACUGGUCAAAGGGCACCAGGUCAAAGGGUACUCAGACAUAUCCAGCUGCUACAGGAGUCUCAAACCCAGAGAUGGCCAAAGCCCCGGGCGGAACCUGCCUGGGUGAGGUUGAUGACAAAAGGGACUGAAGGCUCGAUCGGCACCCAGCUUUGGUAUCUAUCUCAUCACAAGCCUGCGAGUUCAUUUCGACACCAAACAGGAUUUUGUGGACAGCACUAAGAAGUCUUUAAACAUGAUUUAUCUCUAUCGUAUAAUUUCUUGGUAAUGUUCUAAAAACACAGGGUAGCUUUAAUGGGCAUAAGUUUUCUUAGUCCACUCAAAGCUUUUGGUACGUGUAGGCUUACUGAUCCUGUCGGGUCUUGGCCAGGGGACUUACAGCUCCCUGCAGGGCUUCAGGCGGAAGCACUUGUGUCGGUUGUUUUGUUAGUGUGCUAAGGUACCUGGCUGGAAGAGAGAACGGGUUUCUUUGGACACCUGAGUGGAGGAUGCUGUCCUUCAUGACGGGAAGGCGUGUCCACAGCGGCAGAAGGGUGAAGCUGCUUGCUACAGCCUGGCAGAGCAGGAAGCAGAGAUGAGGGACCUCCGGAGUGGGCUGGCUUAGAACUUUGGAGGCCCGCCUCCUGAUAAGCCCCGCCUCUUAAAGGUUCUCCAACCUCCCCAAACAGCCCCACCCACUGGAAACAAAAUGCUCAAACAGAUGAGUUUCUGGGGGCUUUAAACCAUUGUACAUUUAAACCAGAGUAGCCUUUUUUAUUUUUUUAAGGCGGUUCCACCCACUCUGCCCUCAGCAACCUGCGUUCUAGGGCUGUGGCCCUGGAAAGGGUUCUCCAUUUCACUUUCUGCAUUCAACUUUGGCCAGAGCCCUUCCUGGAAUGUGAUCAUUUCUAGCUUUGGAUUUACGACAUGUUAUUUUUGGGGGAGAAUAUCAGUUUCCGUUAUUGUACUAUGUAAGAAAGUAUGACGUGCAUGAAUCUUACUACAAUUGGAUCAUAAAAAGAUAGCCAGCCAAGCCAAAGGCUUUGAGUGGACAUUCCACUAAACAACCCUGAUGUGACCAAUAAGAACAGGAAAAUACACUUCAGAUUAUUAGUUGUUAGGGAACUGAGGCGAAACUACCAUAAGCUGGCACCUCAGAACUCCUAAGGUGGCUGCAAUUCUUAAAGUGGACAGUAACAAGUGUUGAUGACGGCGUAGAGUGUUGGAGCCUUCACGUGGCACUGGGAAUAUAAAAGGCUGUGGCCACGGAAGAAAAGUUUGAUGGUCCUCUAAACAGCGAGCUACCGCAUGAACCAAGAGUUCAGUAUAUAAUCAAUAUAACUGACAGCAUGUGCUAGUAUAAAACUGCACAUGAAUAUUCACAUCAGCAGUAUUUGAAACAGCCAAAGAGAAGACAUAAUCCAGCUAUCUGCUAACUGAUAAACAGACAAAAUACGGCGUGCCUACCCAGUGCAAUAUUAUUAUCCAUAAAAGGAAUGAGGCUCUGCUAUGUGUUAUGUGCCAGGUGAGCCUUGAAGCGGAGCUAAACAUGAAAGGUGUGGCAUAGAGGUUCACAUGCAGUACAGUUCUUCUUAUAGGAAAUGUCCCAAAGAGGUAUGCUUUAGAGACAGAAAUCAGAUGAAUGGUCGUCAGGAGUUAGGGAGAGGGAGGACUGUGGAGUAACUGUCAAUGUGCACAGAAGUCCUUUUAGAUUGAUAAAAAGAUGUGUUCUGGAAUUAAUUAGUGUAAUAAUUGUAACACCUUUUGAAUAUUUAAAAAAACAAUGAAUUGAUCAUUGCAAGUCAUAGGGAUUUCAUGGCAUAUGGGCUAUAUUUAAAAAAAAAAAAACAACAA
Apodemus sylvaticus (European woodmouse) is the source of this 3057-nucleotide long non-coding RNA. RefSeq lists it as uncharacterized. The transcript is spliced from 2 exons. NCBI's taxonomy places the organism in Eukaryota, Metazoa, Chordata, Mammalia, Rodentia, Muridae. The record is from RefSeq and is a predicted model, not a curated record.